This 273-nucleotide ribosomal RNA is filed under the name uncultured bacterium. Its description in RNAcentral is "partial 16S ribosomal RNA". It matches the Rfam family "Bacterial small subunit ribosomal RNA", at positions 524 to 796 of the family's 1533-position model. The record is from RNAcentral.
UACGUAGGGCGCAAGCGUUGUCCGGAAUUAUUGGGCGUAAAGAGCUCGUAGGCGGCUUGUCACGUCGGGUGUGAAAGCCCGGGGCUUAACCCCGGGUCUGCAUUCGAUACGGGCUAGCUAGAGUGUGGUAGGGGAGAUCGGAAUUCCUGGUGUAGCGGUGAAAUGCGCAGAUAUCAGGAGGAACACCGGUGGCGAAGGCGGAUCUCUGGGCCAUUACUGACGCUGAGGAGCGAAAGCGUGGGGAGCGAACAGGAUUAGAAACCCCCGUAGUCC